AGUGAACGCUGGCGGUAGGCCUAACACAUGCAAGUCGAACGGCAGCACAGUAAGAGCUUGCUCUUACGGGUGGCGAGUGGCGGACGGGUGAGGGAUACAUCGGAAUCUACUUUUUCGUGGGGGAUAACGUAGGGAAACUUACGCUAAUACCGCAUACGACCUACGGGUGAAAGCAGGGGAUCUUCGGACCUUGCGCGAUUGAAUGAGCCGAUGUCGGAUUAGCUAGUUGGCGGGGUAAAGGCCCACCAAGGCGACGAUCCGUAGCUGGUCUGAGAGGAUGAUCAGCCACACUGGAACUGAGACACGGUCCAGACUCCUACGGGAGGCAGUAGUGGGGAAUAUUGGACAAUGGGCGCAAGCCUGAUCCAGCCAUACCGCGUGGGUGAAGAAGGCCUUCGGGUUGUAAAGCCCUUUUGUUGGGAAAGAAAAGCAGCAGGUUAAUACCCCGCUGUUCUGACGGUACCCAAAGAAUAAGCACCGGCUAACUUCGUG
This 492-nucleotide ribosomal RNA is filed under the name uncultured bacterium. RNAcentral describes it as "partial 16S ribosomal RNA". It matches the Rfam family "Bacterial small subunit ribosomal RNA", at positions 29 to 507 of the family's 1533-position model. The record is from RNAcentral.